AAACAACGAUGAUAAUAUACACACAUCUUCCGCCAGGGGACUACGAGCAUCAGCUUAAAACCCAAAGGACUUGGCGGUGCCUCAAACCCACCUAGAGGAGCCUGUUCUAUAACCGAUGAUCCUCGUUAAACCUCGCCACUUCUUGCCAUUCCCGCCUAUAUACCGCCGUCGCCAGCUUACCUCAUGAGAGCUAUAACACUAAGCCAAACGGGAUCCCCCCCAAAAACGUCAGGUCGAGGUGUAGCGAAUGAAGUGGAAUGAAAUGGGCUACAUUUUCUGAUACCAGAACAUAACGAAAAGUGCCAUGAAAUAAUCACAAUUAAAGGUGGAUUUAGCAGUAAAAAGAAAACAGAGUGUCUU
Molecule: ribosomal RNA, 360 nt
Filed under: Moringua macrocephala
Lineage: Eukaryota; Metazoa; Chordata; Actinopteri; Anguilliformes; Moringuidae
Description: partial 12S ribosomal RNA
Rfam family: Bacterial small subunit ribosomal RNA
Source: RNAcentral